Molecule: ribosomal RNA, 122 nt
Filed under: Oryzias melastigma (Indian medaka)
Lineage: Eukaryota; Metazoa; Chordata; Actinopteri; Beloniformes; Adrianichthyidae
Source: RNAcentral
UUGGACAGCUCUGCUACCCUGGACACACCCAAACAUGUCUGAUCUUGGGAGUUUAUCAUGGUUUGGUCUGGUUAAUCCCUGGUUGGGAUCAUUGAUUGUAUAUGAGAACUGGACUGAUCAAC